UUAGUACCGUGAGGGAAUGGUGAAAAGUACCCCGGGAGGGGAGUGAAAGAGUUCCUGAAACCAUGCGCUUACAAUCCGUCAGAGCACCGUUUGUGUGUGUGAUGGCGUGCCUUUUGAAGAAUGAGCCUGCGAGUCAGCGGCAUGUCGCGAGGUUAACCCGUGUGCGGGGUAGUCGUAGCGAAAGCGAAUCCGAAUAGGGUGUUGUAAGUGGCAUGUCCUGGACCCGAAGCGGGGUGAUCUACCCAUGGCCAGUGUGAAGCAGCUGUAAGAGGUUGUGGAGGCGCGAACCCACUUAGGUUGAAAACUGAGGGGAUGAGCUGUGGGUAGGGGUGAAAGGCCAAUCAAACUCCGUGAUAGCUGGUUCUCCCCGAAAUGCAUUUAGGUGCAGCGUGAUGUGAGCUUGCCGGAGGUAGAGCUACUGGUUGGUUGAGCGGGACUAUCAUCUUAGCGACGUCAGCCAAACUCCGAAUGCCGGUUGAAGUGGUGCAUUGCAGUGAGACUGUGGGGGAUAAGCUUCAUAGUCGAGAGGGAAACAGCCCAGAUCGCCGGUUAAGGCCCCUAAGGGUGUGCUAAGUGGAAAAGGAUGUGGGAUCGCGAAGACAGCCAGGAGGUUGGCUUAGAAGCAGCCAUCCUUGAAAGAGUGCGUAAUAGCUCACUGGUCGAGUGGUUUCGCGCCGACAAUGUAGUGGGGCUCAAGCACACCGCCGAAGCCGCGGCAAGCCUUUUUGGCUUGGGUAGGGGAGCGUCGUGUGUGGGGUGAAGCCGUACUGUAAGGAGCGGUGGACUGCAUGCGAGUGAGAAUGCAGGCAUGAGUAACGAAUGGCAAGUGAGAAUCUUGCCCGCCGGAUGACUAAGGGUUCCUGGGUCAAGUUCGUCUUCCCAGGGUGAGUCGGGUCCUAAGGCGAGGCCGACAGGCGUAGUCGAUGGUCAACGGGUUGAUAUUCCCGUACCCGUAUAUGCGCGCCCAGUAUCGAAGCGGUGAUACUAACCACCCUGACCCACCGACGUUGGCCACUCUUUGAGUGGUUGGUUGGUGGUGAUGCGUGGGGCCUGAUCCGUUGUAGGUCAGUGAUGGGGUGACGCAGUGAGGUAGCCGAGCCGCUUAUUGGAUUGCGGUGCAAGCGUGUGGCACGACAACAUUGGUCAAAUCCGGUUGUCAAGUGUGUGAGGCGUGAUGCGUAGCCCUUUGUGGGUGAUGUUGGUGAUCCUGUACUGCCGAGAAAAGCCUCUAGCGAUGUGUGUGUACGGCCCGUACCCAUAACCGACACAGGUGGUCAGGUAGAAAAUACUAAGGCGAGCGGGUGAACUGUGGUUAAGGAACUCGGCAAAAUGCCCCCGUAACUUCGGGAGAAGGGGGACCUAUGCUGGUCAAGCAUGUUUCGUGUGGUAGCUGGUGUGGGUCGCAGAGAAGAGAGGGGAGCGACUGUUUAUCAAAAACACAGGUCCGUGCGAAGACGGUUAAGUUGAUGUAUACGGACUGACGCCUGCCCGGUGCUGGAAGGUUAAGAGGACCUGUUAGGGCUUUUGGGCCCGAAGCGGAGAAUUUAAGCCCCAGUAAACGGCGGUGGUAACUAUAACCAUCCUAAGGUAGCGAAAUUCCUUGUCGGGUAAGUUCCGACCUGCACGAAUGGCGUAACGACUCCCCUGCUGUCUCAACC
RNAcentral lists this ribosomal RNA (1658 nucleotides) under Corynebacterium ureicelerivorans. RNAcentral's name for it is "partial 23S ribosomal RNA". It matches the Rfam family "Bacterial large subunit ribosomal RNA", at positions 495 to 2026 of the family's 2925-position model. Lineage: Bacteria; Bacillati; Actinomycetota; Actinomycetes; Mycobacteriales; Corynebacteriaceae. The record is from RNAcentral.